This 2143-nucleotide long non-coding RNA is filed under the name Podarcis lilfordi (Lilford's wall lizard). Lineage: Eukaryota; Metazoa; Chordata; Lepidosauria; Squamata; Lacertidae. The record is from RNAcentral.
CGCCCAUCGCCAUGGUUACCAUGUCACCCUCCCCGGAGAAGGCCUCUGGUUUGGUUUUGCCGCAAUUUCCAUAUUAAAGAAAGAAGUUCCCCUCAUCUCACGAUCAAGCACCUGGGGCGGAAUCUGAUCUCACAAAUAAAGAUCUGGCGCGCAUCAAGUAAUACUAGAGAGCGGCGGGGGGGGGGUAUUCUGAACAUAUGCAAAACACUUUCCUCCCCGUCUCCAAUGUGCAAUUGGAAAGCUCACAAACAGGACCUGAUAGCAUUGCCCUCUCCUAUGUUAUUUCUCUGUAACUGGUAUUCAGAUGCAUGGCACCUCUAAUCCUGGGGGUAUCAUGGAUAUCCUUCCCUUAAUUUGCCUAAUCUCUUUUCAAAACCAUCUAUCUGAGGCCAUUAUCACAUUUUAUGGGCACAAAUGCCAUUGUUUAUGUGUUGUGUUGUGUGAAGAAAUAGUUCCUUUUGUUUGCUCUAAAUCUCCCACCAUUCAGCUUUAUUGGAUGAUUCCAGGUUCUAGUAUUAUGGGGGGGGGGACAUACCUUCCAUAAUAAUUCUUUUCAUAUUUAAGGUGACACAACCUUAAAUAUUUUUCUAGUGCUUUGCUUCUAGAAAAAAGGUGCAGGUACUGUGUACCCUCUGAGUACCACCAGAAAAAAACACUGUUUCUCUCUCUAACUUGUCUCUGUUAUUGCAUUUGUGGCCAAGAAAGGAAUGCCAAAUCCAUUGCAAGAUGCUCUGACUGUGUUCUACAAUAGCAGAUCAGCAGACAUUUAAUUACUGAUUACUCAAAGCCAAGUAUUUCCUGUAACUGCAUAAGCCUAACAUUAUAAGGACACUUACAAGUGUGAUAUCCUUGAACUCUAAUAAGACAUGUCAUACAUUUUUUUCAGAAGAAGAACUUGUUUUGUUUUUUCCCUUUCCCAGCCACGUGGAUCUUAUUGGCUAUGACUAGUUUGAAGGACUGGUCUGCUCAAAACAACACUGGAAAAGGAACUGGCAUAGUUGUUUGACAGAGUCUUUAUACUCUGAAGUCGGAUGUCAAUUUCAGAGGAACUUCCAGUAUGCAGCUGAAACAGAACAAAGAGGCAGUUUGACAGACAGCUGUGGGACUUCUGCUUGCCAAACUCUGAUCCCAGAGACAAAAACAAAUUAAUAAUAUAUCUCCAACAACAGAUAAGUGACAUAAAGCUUUAUUGAAUUCCAGAGCCAUCUGGUUGGCCACUGGAAAACGAGAUGCUGGGCUUUGAUCUGAUGUGUGUUUGGGUAACUGUUGGACCCAUACACCUGGCAAGGUUCACUGGGGCUUAAUAAUAAUAAUAAUAAAUUUUUAUUUAUAUCCCGCCCUCCCCAGCCGAAGCUGGGCUCAGGGCGGCUAACAACAGGCUUGAUGCCUGCCCUGCCUUCCCUGCUGCAGUAAGUGCCACUGAGCCUACCACCACCACCAAUCACUCCCCCACAGUCCCCAGAUGCCAGCUGGCUCUAUUAAUGUUUGAAGUUUCACUCUCACCACAUCAAUCAUCUGUUAGGUGGUAUGAAAGAAGAGGUGACGGGGCGCAUAGCAGGUGACUGACCCUGAAUGCAGGUUGCCAGUGCUACAUAACUCCACUCCCAGUGAGGCUUCCUUGGACCCAGAACCAGCCUGUCCUCCCCAUGCCUAAGUUUGUUCGGGUUACAUAUACAGUAAAAGGAGGCGCUAAACUAGUACUGUAUGGGGCCAUGUAGGCAAGGAACUGAGCACCCAUUCUAUUAAUAGGCUUUUAUUUUUAUCAUAAUAAAAGUAAAUAAUAAUAAUAAUAAUAAUAAUAAUAAUCUAUUAUUUAUACCCCACCCAUUUGGCUCGGUUUCCCAGCUGCUCUGGGUGGCUCCCGACAGAAUAAUGAUGAUGGUGAUGGUGAUGCAAUAAAACAUCAAACAUGAAAAACUUCCCUUUGGAACACUGCUCCUAGGUAAUUCAGACAAGCACCUACAAUUGUGAUAUUUCAUUGCCUGCUGAAAACAUUAUGUUUUGCCAAGCAUUUUUAGAUAAUUAAGGGACACGGGUGGCGCUGUGGGUUGAACCAAUUUGAUUCAUUGUUGGUCUUUCAAUCUGUAUUUUAUAAUUUUGUUACAUUUUAUUGUAUUCCACUGUGAUUUUUUAAAAAUUAGUU